GGCGGGGGGUACUCUUCGUCCCAUAUCUUGCUUCAAAUGACUUUAUGAGUUCAAGGUCCAGUCUUGAUCCUGUCCUGGCUAUUGGGACUCUACGAGACCUUCACGCAGGUGCAACUCCAAUGCACAUUAUAUUGGUGUUUGAUUAUAAAGGAAAAUUAAUUAUUUUCAUUGAUUCAGUGUUAUUGUAUUCAAAUAAUUUAUUUUAAUUAAUAGAAAAUUAAUUAGCCCUGUCUAAAUUUGUUGUAAACCUGUAGUUGGAAAUAAGAAUAAAAGCGUAUUAAUAUUUUCCAAGUUAAAGUUCCUGUACCAUAUAUUUCACAGCAUUUCAAAGAAGGACAGCCAACUGUUACAUGCUCUGACCCAGUACCGACUGAUGGUAGUGACAUCUAUAAAGCUGAGAGGCCUCCAUUUAAACAAAAGCUUAACCAUGAAAACAGUGGUCAGUCAUCCAAAAUAAAACUAUAGAGGCAGACAAAAAGUGCAGAGGCAGGAACAGAUGCACCUAAUGAAAAUCUAACUUCAGAAGUUAAACCUGGCAUUCACAGUCUUGUAGUCGAGACCAGUUAGUCCGAGAUCAAGACCGAGAACAGAAGUUCUGAGAGCACCACCUUCAAGAGGGAUCAAGACCAAGAUCGUCUGAGACUGAGAGUGCCAAGUACACUAAGUUACCAGCCAGAAAUCACUCACAGCAACAGUUACAUUGUGCAUAUUUGUGCUUCUUUGCUGGGAAUUCAGCACAAUCUGGGCUUGAACUAGUAUCAGUGGCAUCAUUAAUUCAUAACUUAGAGGGGAAAAUGCAGCACUCAAGAAGAAUCUUGCUGCCAAGGUUUUGGAGCUGCAUGAUGCAAAGAAAAAAUCCAACAGGACACCGUCAAAGCCAUCAGACAAGGUUAUCAACUGGAAAAACUUCAGUGUCAAGACUGUUCUAAAAUCACAAGUUUUUUUAAAUAUCACACAGGGUUCCAAGCCAACACUUUCAAUUUGCUUUUUGAUUUCUUAAUCCUUGAUGCAAAAAAACAACCAACUUGAGUAUAAGAAAAGAAAAUCGACAUGCAUGAAGUUGUCUUUGAACGACCAGCUGUUCUUAGUUUUGUGCUGAUUGCAAAAUGGGUUUCAUUGGAAGGAUCUUGCGUUACAACAAGUAUUUUCACGGUUUAUUUCUGACAAAGAAAUAUGCCAGAAAAGUCACAUUUGCAAGCUCCUUCAAGACCUGAUAAGAGAUGAAAAAGUCUACCUUGAUGAUGAAAUUAUGGUGGAUAAAGGCUUUCAAAUAGAUGAGGUUAAAAAAUUGGUUUGAAAGGUGAACAUCCCUCCACUGGCUUCAUCGUCUUCACAGAUGAAACCAGCUGAUUUGAUGCUCACUAGGAAGAUUGCCUGUCACUUGGUACAUAUAGAGAAAGCAGUUGAAGGAAUGAAGAGUUAAUAGUCACCUGAACAAUUCCAGCCAGCCUGUUUGGAAGUGUUAAAGAAAUAUGUUUGAUAUGCUGCUGUUUGAAAGGAUUUCAGGAUGUUUUGUUGAAGGAGAAGUAGUCAAACCCACAUCCUCAUCCAUCAUGUCCAUCUGUAUUGUAGCUAUAAGUUUUUUAAUCACUGGCUAAUGUAAUCCACUUUUUUAACUCAGUAUUAAUACCUGAUAAUAUAGGCUUGAUCCUCUCUGAACUUGUCCAAGGGGUGUUUGAGUCACUGAAACAUCCUCCUGGAGAAGAUACUUCAGUGGGGUUUUUGUUAAGGCUUUUAACUGCCUUAUUUCCCUUGAAGUAGGCAGCAACACUCUGUAAAAAUAUGAGGAAAAAUUUACAACUCUGUUUAGUCAGUUAUUUCAAAAUGAACAAAAGAAAAAAAAGGAAAAUUUAUGUUGGACUCUAGCUGAAGAAGGAGGAACAUUUUAAAAAAGCAAAUUUUUGUUACAUUUUAUUAUCUUGGUGGAUCAGGACUGAAUCUGUGAUAAAAAAAAUGUGCACAAGGAUGAAUGGAUUGUCAAGAAAAGUUGUCCAGACAUCACUCUUCAAAGGUAAAAGAAUUCUUGUCCGCAAAAAGUAGAUACAAGGUUUUUCAGUUGUACUCAACUACAUGUACGUGCUUGUUCAGUUUUUGUCAGAUGCAUACAAAUGUACAUUUUGUCUUUCCACAUUCCGCCAACAAAGCAGAUUUGUUAAUAGACAUUUUUAAUUGUACACUACAUGUACCUUUGCUCAGUCACUUUUGUGAAAACAGGCUGUCAUUUCCUGAUUUUCUGGGCUUUGCCAUGAUCAAGCCUGUCAUGGAUUUUGGUUGGAUUUUACAUCCACAAGAUUUGGGCCACUGUUGUGGCAUGCUUGUACAGGACAAAUGCCCUGGCAUCUCCUUCAGAGCAAGUUCCUGGUAAUGUCUCAGGGUGUAUAUCAGGGCAAUUAUAUUGAAGCAAGUACCUGAUAGCCUGUUGAAUAAUCAGUUGGAAUGAAUUUUGGAGGUACGAAGGCUUAACAAAUAAGAAUGGGAGUCAAAGUAGGCCGUCUAUAAAUUUUCCUUGACAUUUUUAUCAGCUAACCAAAGAGCAGGGGGGAUGGCUUUCAUUACUGCAGUUAAUAAAUUGAGUUAAAUUAAAAUAAAAUCGUAAUUGUAUCCAAAAGGAAAAGACCCAGAUUGAUAUACAUUAUAAUUGAAUGUAUUUAUAUAUUUAUCUAAAAGAAAUGCUGAAUAUUAUUCUAAAGAAAAAACAAGAAGAGGAAAUAUAUAUUUUAUUUUCAGAACAGUACUGAUUAGCCUGUCACGUUUCCUUUUUGUACAUGUAUUGUGCUUGUGUAAGGCAUCCUCUUGAACACAAAUCAGGGUUUGCAUGCAUUCUGGAAAACCUGGAAUAUCCUGGAAUUUCAUACCCAUCCUGAAUAGUCCUGGAAAAUGCUUAAUUUUUAAUACAUAUUUUUUUCAUACAAUAUUUAUUUAAUACAUAAUUAAAAAUUUUCAGUCAUUAUAAACUAAUAAAGUUUUUUCCUUAACGUUGAAUGAACUAGGGGAAGUUUAUUUUUUAUGAUUGCCAAAUGUGUGUAGGCCUACCUCGUGGUCCGGUUGUCACUGUCAGAAAACUUGUCACGUCUUUGUCAUUGCGCUGCUUGAUUUCUAUGCAUGUACAUUGUUAUAACUUCACAAUCUUCUAUUGUAUUGUAUUGAUAUAUUGUACAUGUACAUGUAUUGCAUGUCAACCUGAAUUAAGUCCUGGAAAAAAUCAAACUUUUCAACCUAGAUAAUCCUUGAAAAGUCCUGGAAUAUUUUUUUCACAAGGGUGUAUGAACCCUAACAAACGAAUACAGGAAUAACUAAAACUGUACAUGUAUGUCUACACGUGCUUAUCCAACUACAUAGCUGUAUUUCCUCUCUGCUAUGAAACCAUUCCGUUCUAAGCACACAUUCAGGGAAUGCAGUAUACUGCCUUUCUGCAUACUUCUGUAGCAUUUUGCCUGCAUUACCACCUGGCCAUCCUUCAAAACUAAUAAGGAAUUACGUUUGACCGGCUCAGACUUGAGUAAAGAACUGGAAGUGACCGUUUGCCGUUAUUUGUAGUAAAGUAUGUAAAUGAAUUGUUUUGUGUUGUUUAUUGAGAAGUUCUGUGUUAGAGUCGUCUUUAUGAAUAUCAUGCCUUUUACUUUCAACCUACCCCAAACAGUCACUAAAUAUGCAAAUUCCUUUGCAUGUGAUUCUGUUCACUAAAGUUCUGAUCAACGUGAUGUGCGCCCUAUAGUACCAUGAUGCAUAGCGGAACGGCCACCAUGUUUGUCCGUCUUUUCCUCAGUGUGAUUCUAAACAGACUUUUUUGGGCCUCUUUGAGUUUAUCGAGUUUCUGUUUCGCUACCACGUUUCUGUGUUAUUCUAAUCAACCAUAACGUAUUGUAAAAAUAUACAUUUGGUAUUUUGAUAUAUUCUUUAGUUUGAGGUGUGCACUUUCUUGUUUUGUGGUAUUUUCUCUUCUGUUAUAUCUUUCAGACUCGUUGACUCUACGUUACUGUACUACCAAGUG
Acanthaster planci (crown-of-thorns starfish) is the source of this 3991-nucleotide long non-coding RNA. The record is from RefSeq and is a predicted model, not a curated record. Lineage: Eukaryota; Metazoa; Echinodermata; Asteroidea; Valvatida; Acanthasteridae.